GGUCCGGUGAAGUGUUCGGAUCGCUGCGAUGCGGGCGGUUCGCCGCCCGUGACUCGGCGAGAAGUCCAUUGAACCUUAUCAUUUAGAGGAAGGAGAAGUCGUAACAAGGUUUCCGUAGGUGAACCUGCGGAAGGAUCAUUG
This 141-nucleotide ribosomal RNA is filed under the name Polycycnis aurita. RNAcentral's name for it is "partial 18S ribosomal RNA". It matches the Rfam family "Eukaryotic small subunit ribosomal RNA", at positions 1695 to 1831 of the family's 1831-position model. The record is from RNAcentral. RNAcentral also lists the same sequence under 1 other name. Lineage: Eukaryota; Viridiplantae; Streptophyta; Magnoliopsida; Asparagales; Orchidaceae.